Molecule: ribosomal RNA, 463 nt
Filed under: uncultured bacterium
Lineage: Bacteria
Description: bacterial SSU rRNA
Rfam family: Bacterial small subunit ribosomal RNA
Source: RNAcentral
GGACCCGCACAAGCAGCGGAGCAUGUGGUUUAAUUCGAAGCAACGCGAAGAACCUUACCAAGGCUUGACAUCCUCUGACCGCCAUAGAGAUAUGGCUUCCCUUCGGGGCAGAGAGACAGGUGGUGCAUGGUUGUCGUCAGCUCGUGUCGUGAGAUGUUGGGUUAAGUCCCGCAACGAGCGCAACCCUUAUCAUUAGUUGCCAGCACUACGGGUGGGAACUCUAAUGAGACUGCCGGGGAUAACUCGGAGGAAGGUGGGGACGACGUCAAAUCAUCAUGCCCCUUAUGUCUUGGGCUACACACGUGCUACAAUGGCCGGUACAAAGGGCUGCGAAGCCGUAAGGCAGAGCGAAUCCCAGAAAACCGGUCCCAGUUCGGAUCGUGGGCUGCAACCCGCCCACGUGAAGCCGGAGUUGCUAGUAAUCGCGAAUCAGCAUGUCGCGGUGAAUGCGUUCCCGGGUCUU